This 464-nucleotide ribosomal RNA is filed under the name uncultured bacterium. RNAcentral describes it as "partial 16S ribosomal RNA". It matches the Rfam family "Bacterial small subunit ribosomal RNA", at positions 339 to 795 of the family's 1533-position model. The record is from RNAcentral.
CUACGGGUCGCACCAGUGGGGAAUAUUGCACAAUGGGCGCAAGCCUGAUGCAGCCAUGCCGCGUGUAUGAAGAAGGCCUUCGGGUUGUAAAGUACUUUCAGCGGGGAGGAAGGGAGUACAGUUAAUACCUUUGCUCAUUGACGUUACCCGCAGAAGAAGCACCGGCUAACUCCGUGCCAGCAGCCGCGGUAAUACGGAGUGUGCAAGCGUUAAUCGGAAUUACUGGGCGUAAAGCGCACGCAGGCGGUUUGUUAAGUCAGAUGUGAAAUCCCCGGGCUCAACCUGGGAACUGCAUCUGAUACUGGCAAGCUUGAGUCUCGUAGAGGGGGGUAGAAUUCCAGGUGUAGCGGUGAAAUGCGUAGAGAUCUGGAGGAAUACCGGGGGCGAAGGCGGCCCCCUGGACGAAGACUGACGCUCAGGUGCGAAAGCGUGGGGAGCAAACAGGAUUAGAUACCCCCGUAGUC